RNAcentral lists this ribosomal RNA (253 nucleotides) under uncultured bacterium. Its description in RNAcentral is "partial 16S ribosomal RNA". It matches the Rfam family "Bacterial small subunit ribosomal RNA", at positions 524 to 776 of the family's 1533-position model. The record is from RNAcentral.
UACGGAGGGGGCUAGCGUUGUUCGGAAUCAUUGGGCGUAAAGGGCGCGUAGGCGGCCGGCCAAGUCGGGUGUGAAAUCCCUCGGCUCAACCGAGGAACUGCACUCGAUACUGGCUGGCUAGAGUCCGGGAGGGGAUGGUGGAAUUCCCAGUGUAGCGGUGAAAUGCGUAGAUAUUGGGAAGAACACCGGUGGCGAAGGCGGCCAUCUGGACCGGAACUGACGCUGAGGCGCGAAAGCCAGGGGAGCGAAUGGG